This 440-nucleotide ribosomal RNA is filed under the name uncultured bacterium. RNAcentral describes it as "partial 16S ribosomal RNA". It matches the Rfam family "Bacterial small subunit ribosomal RNA", at positions 338 to 795 of the family's 1533-position model. The record is from RNAcentral.
CCUACGGGUGGCAGCAGUGGGGAAUAUUGCACAAUGGGGGAAACCCUGAUGCAGCGACGCCGCGUGAAGGAAGAAGUAUUUCGGUAUGUAAACUUCUAUCAGCAGGGAAGAAAAUGACGGUACCUGACUAAGAAGCCCCGGCUAACUACGUGCCAGCAGCCGCGGUAAUACGUAGGGGGCAAGCGUUAUCCGGAUUUACUGGGUGUAAAGGGAGCGUAGGCGGUUUAGCAAGUCAGAAGUGAAAGCCCGGGGCUCAACUCCGGGACUGCUUUUGAAACUGUUGAACUAGAGUGCAGGAGAGGUAAGUGGAAUUCCUAGUGUAGCGGUGAAAUGCGUAGAUAUUAGGAGGAACACCAGUGGCGAAGGCGGCUUACUGGACUGUAAAUGACGCUGAGGCUCGAAAGCGUGGGGAGCAAACAGGAUUAGAUACCCGGGUAGUC